GACGAACGCUGGCGGCGUGCUUAACACAUGCAAGUCGAACGGAUCACAUUGCUUCGGUUUUGUGGUGAGUGGCGAACGGGUGAGUAACACGUGAGUAACCUGCCCCCUUCUUUGGGAUAACGUCGGGAAAUCGGCGCUAAUACUGGAUAUUCUGGUUUCCUCGCAUGGGGUUUCUGGGAAAGGUUUUCUGGUGGGGGAUGGGCUCGCGGCCUAUCAGCUUGUUGGUGGGGUGAUGGCCUACCAAGGCGGUGACGGGUAGCCGGCCUGAGAGGGUGUCCGGCCACACUGGGACUGAGACACGGCCCAGACUCCUACGGGAGGCAGCAGUGGGGAAUAUUGCACAAUGGGCGCAAGCCUGAUGCAGCGACGCCGCGUGAGGGAUGACGGCCUCGGGUUGUAACCGUACUUUCACGUACAGAACAAGGACCUCGGUUGGUAGGGUAGUGUUGCGAGAAGAAGGAGCCGGCGUACUAACGUGCCGAGCAGCGCGGUAAACGUACGUAG
RNAcentral lists this ribosomal RNA (504 nucleotides) under uncultured bacterium. RNAcentral describes it as "bacterial SSU rRNA". It matches the Rfam family "Bacterial small subunit ribosomal RNA", at positions 28 to 530 of the family's 1533-position model. The record is from RNAcentral.